CGAACGCUGGCGGCAGGCUUAACACAUGCAAGUCGAGCGCCCCGCAAGGGGAGCGGCAGACGGGUGAGUAACGCGUGGGAACGUACCUUUUGCUACGGAAUAACUCAGGGAAACUUGUGCUAAUACCGUAUGUGCCCUUCGGGGGAAAGAUUUAUCGGCAAAGGAUCGGCCCGCGUUGGAUUAGCUAGUUGGUGAGGUAAAGGCUCACCAAGGCGACGAUCCAUAGCUGGUCUGAGAGGAUGAUCAGCCACACUGGGACUGAGACACGGCCCAGACUCCUACGGGAGGCAGCAGUGGGGAAUAUUGGACAAUGGGCGCAAGCCUGAUCCAGCCAUGCCGCGUGAGUGAUGAAGGCCCUAGGGUUGUAAAGCUCUUUUCACCGGUGAAGAUAAUGACGGUAACCGGAGAAGAAGCCCCGCUA
RNAcentral lists this ribosomal RNA (421 nucleotides) under Brucella anthropi. RNAcentral's name for it is "bacterial SSU rRNA". It matches the Rfam family "Bacterial small subunit ribosomal RNA", at positions 30 to 499 of the family's 1533-position model. The record is from RNAcentral. Lineage: Bacteria; Pseudomonadati; Pseudomonadota; Alphaproteobacteria; Hyphomicrobiales; Brucellaceae.